CGGGGCGUAGCUCAGUUUGGCCAGAGCGCUUGCUUGGGGUGCAAGAGGUCGCUGGUUCAAGUCCAGUCGCUCCGACCA
This 78-nucleotide transfer RNA is filed under the name Bacillota bacterium. RNAcentral describes it as "Firmicutes bacterium (anaerobic digester metagenome) tRNA-Pro". It matches the Rfam family "tRNA". From Rfam's summary of the family: Transfer RNA (tRNA) molecules are approximately 80 nucleotides in length. Their secondary structure includes four short double-helical elements and three loops (D, anti-codon, and T loops). Further hydrogen bonds mediate the characteristic L-shaped molecular structure. tRNAs have two regions of fundamental functional importance: the anti-codon, which is responsible for specific mRNA codon recognition, and the 3' end, to which the tRNAs corresponding amino acid is attached (by aminoacyl-tRNA synthetases). tRNAs cope with the degeneracy of the genetic code in two manners: having more than one tRNA (with a specific anti-codon) for a particular amino acid; and 'wobble' base-pairing, i.e. permitting non-standard base-pairing at the 3rd anti-codon position. The record is from RNAcentral. Lineage: Bacteria; Bacillati; Bacillota.